Long non-coding RNA from Seriola aureovittata, 1002 nucleotides. RefSeq lists it as uncharacterized. The transcript is spliced from 6 exons. The record is from RefSeq and is a predicted model, not a curated record. NCBI's taxonomy places the organism in Eukaryota, Metazoa, Chordata, Actinopteri, Carangiformes, Carangidae.
UUAUGUUUUAUGCGCCAUAAAAUUUUACUAUCAGUGUGGCGUAGUAACAAUUGUUACCAGAUGCCACCGGUAGGCGGAGCGUAUAGCUCGUGAGCUGUUUGGGAAACAUGGCAGACUUCAGGUACAGCAAACACGGCCUGAGAAAAGUUUGUGUCGAGAUUCAUUAAUGCGAAAUACUCCCCCCUUAAUAACGUUAAAUGUGUAUUAGUGAGUUUGUCAGUUAGUGUCUACACUUGCCUAGGACAGCAAUCGUCUUUUAGCAUGUUAAUUGCAUCGUUAGGUAAUGUAGCUAGCAAACUGUAACCAGUGCUAAUUGUACUUACGACGGAGUAUCCAGUUAGCGAUCACCCGACAGUGGCCUGAUGCUCUAACUCUGGCACUUCAUCACCUAUUGUGAUUUACUUCAUGACAACACCAACGAAAAUGGCAACACAAUCGACCAAGCUCAGGCGUGUGGAGUCAUGAGUCAUUCUGGAAACACAAAGCAACACAGCAGCAGUGAGGUGAUGGAGCGUCUCUUCAUGGGGGGAGGACACCGUGGUCUACUCAAGAGUCUCAAAAUUGGACCAACACAUGAGUUGAUACUGAAGCUGACAGGAAACAAUGGGAAAGAGAGACGGAUAUGACUUGCAACAAAGGUCCCCAGCAGAAAUAAGACCAGGGACUCUGAUUACGAGAGGGAAACUCAGGAGCCUUUCCCUCCUCCAAAACCCUCAGCAGAAGCCACAUUUCUCAGUGUAUUUGAUCGCCACAUCCAGCACCUGAACUAAACUGAUGUAUGGAGCUGAUUCCUGGCGGGCCACGCUGCGUUGCCUGGAUUUGUUUAACCCGGCAGAUCAACCUUCAGACAGGAGCAUGUGUGCAGGUAAUGGCUGCCAGAUGAGGUGAGGCCAGCUCUUAGAGGCCUAGUGGAUGCUACAGAAGAGGAACGAAAAGAGCACUCACACAUGCAUGCAUAUACAAACAAGCACAUAGCCCCAGGAGCUGUUAUGAAAGACAACA